RNAcentral lists this ribosomal RNA (425 nucleotides) under uncultured bacterium. RNAcentral describes it as "bacterial SSU rRNA". It matches the Rfam family "Bacterial small subunit ribosomal RNA", at positions 354 to 796 of the family's 1533-position model. The record is from RNAcentral.
GUGGGGAAUAUUGGACAAUGGGCGCAAGCCUGAUCCAGCCAUGCCGCGUGAGUGAUGACGGCCUUAGGGUUGUAAAGCUCUUUCGCUAGGGACGAUAAUGACGGUACCUAGACAAGAAGCCCCGGCUAACUUCGUGCCAGCAGCCGCGGUAAUACGAAGGGGGCUAGCGUUGUUCGGAAUUACUGGGCGUAAAGCGCGUGUAGGCGGGCGAAUAAGUCAGGGGUGAAAUGCCAAGGCUCAACCUUGGAACUGCCUUUGAUACUGUUCGUCUUGAGUCCGGGAGAGGUGAGUGGAACUGCGAGUGUAGAGGUGAAAUUCGUAGAUAUUCGCAAGAACACCAGUGGCGAAGGCGGCUCACUGGCCCGGAACUGACGCUGAGACGCGAAAGCGUGGGGAGCAAACAGGAUUAGAUACCCUUGUAGUCC